Molecule: non-coding RNA, 66 nt
Organism: Mesocricetus auratus (golden hamster)
Lineage: Eukaryota; Metazoa; Chordata; Mammalia; Rodentia; Cricetidae
Source: Rfam
GUAGUACUCAAACUGUGGGGGCACUUUUUGUUCUGGAAUAAAGUGCCGCCAGGUUCUGGGCAUUAC